GAUGAACGCUGGCGGCGUGCCUAAUACAUGCAAGUCGAACGAAACUUCUUUAUCACCGAGUGCUUGCACUCACCGAUAAAGAGUUGAGUGGCGAACGGGUGAGUAACACGUGGGCAACCUGCCCAAAAGAGGGGGAUAACACUUGCAAACAGGUGCUAAUACCGCAUAACCAUAGUUACCGCAUGGUAACUAUGUAAAAGGUGGCUAUACUACCGCUUUUGGAUGGGCCCGCGGCGCAUUAGCUAGUUGGUAGGGUAAAGGCUUACCAAGGCAAUGAUGCGUAGCCGAAUUGAGAGGUUGAUCGGCCACAUUGGGACUGAGACACGGCCCAAACUCCUACGGGAGGCAGCAGUAGGGAAUCUUCCACAAUGGGCGAAAGCCUGAUGGAGCAACGCCGCGUGGGUGAAGAAGGUCUUCGGAUCGUAAAACCCUGUUGUUAGAGAAGAAAGUGCGUGAGAGUAACUGUUCACGUUUCGACGGUAUCUAACCAGAAAGCCACGGCUAACUACGUG
This 512-nucleotide ribosomal RNA is filed under the name uncultured bacterium. RNAcentral's name for it is "partial 16S ribosomal RNA". It matches the Rfam family "Bacterial small subunit ribosomal RNA", at positions 28 to 507 of the family's 1533-position model. The record is from RNAcentral.